This 201-nucleotide ribosomal RNA is filed under the name uncultured bacterium. RNAcentral describes it as "partial 16S ribosomal RNA". It matches the Rfam family "Bacterial small subunit ribosomal RNA", at positions 328 to 539 of the family's 1533-position model. The record is from RNAcentral.
ACGCUCGACACCUACGGGAGGCAGCAGUGGGGAAUAUUGGGCAAUGGGCGAAGGCCUGACCCAGCAACGCCGCGUGAGGGAUGAAUGUUUUCGGAUUGUAAACCUCUGUCCUCAGGGACGAAGGACGUGACGGUACCUGAGGAGGAAGCCCCGGCUAACUACGUGCUAGCAGCCGCGGUAAUCUGAGCGGGCUGGCAAGGC